RNAcentral lists this ribosomal RNA (211 nucleotides) under Shigella flexneri. Its description in RNAcentral is "partial 16S ribosomal RNA". It matches the Rfam family "Bacterial small subunit ribosomal RNA", at positions 1 to 217 of the family's 1533-position model. Lineage: Bacteria; Pseudomonadati; Pseudomonadota; Gammaproteobacteria; Enterobacterales; Enterobacteriaceae. The record is from RNAcentral.
AAAUUGAAGAGUUUGAUCAUGGCUCAGAUUGAACGCUGGCGGCAGGCCUAACACAUGCAAGUCGAACGGUAACAGGAAUCAGCUUGCUGAUUCGCUGACGAGUGGCGGACGGGUGAGUAAUGUCUGGGAAACUGCCUGAUGGAGGGGGAUAACUACUGGAAACGGUAGCUAAUACCGCAUAAUGUCGCAAGACCAAAGAGGGGGACCUUCG